GACGAACGCUGGCGGCGUGCUUAACACAUGCAAGUCGAACGGAAAGGCCCUGCUUUUGUGGGGUGCUCGAGUGGCGAACGGGUGAGUAACACGUGAGUAACCUGCCCUUGACUUUGGGAUAACUUCAGGAAACUGGGGCUAAUACCGGAUAGGAGCUCCUGCUGCAUGGUGGGGGUUGGAAAGUUUCGGCGGUUGGGGAUGGACUCGCGGCUUAUCAGCUUGUUUGUGGGGUAGUGGCUUACCAAGGCUUUGACGGGUAGCCGGCCUGUGAGGGUGACCGGCAACAUGGGGACUGAGAUACGGCCCAGAGUGCUACGGGAGGCAGCAGUGGGGAAUAUUGCACAAUGGGCGGAAGCCUGAUGCAGAAACGCCGCGUGCGGGAUGACGGCCUUCGGGUUGUAAACAGCUUUCGCCUGUGACGAAGCGUGAGUGACGGUAAUGGGUAAAGAAGCACCGGCUAACUACGUG
RNAcentral lists this ribosomal RNA (468 nucleotides) under uncultured bacterium. RNAcentral describes it as "partial 16S ribosomal RNA". It matches the Rfam family "Bacterial small subunit ribosomal RNA", at positions 28 to 507 of the family's 1533-position model. The record is from RNAcentral.